RNAcentral lists this ribosomal RNA (1542 nucleotides) under Escherichia coli O104:H4 str. 2009EL-2050. RNAcentral describes it as "16S ribosomal RNA". It matches the Rfam family "Bacterial small subunit ribosomal RNA". The record is from RNAcentral. Lineage: Bacteria; Pseudomonadati; Pseudomonadota; Gammaproteobacteria; Enterobacterales; Enterobacteriaceae.
AAAUUGAAGAGUUUGAUCAUGGCUCAGAUUGAACGCUGGCGGCAGGCCUAACACAUGCAAGUCGAACGGUAACAGGAAACAGCUUGCUGUUUCGCUGACGAGUGGCGGACGGGUGAGUAAUGUCUGGGAAACUGCCUGAUGGAGGGGGAUAACUACUGGAAACGGUAGCUAAUACCGCAUAACGUCGCAAGACCAAAGAGGGGGACCUUCGGGCCUCUUGCCAUCGGAUGUGCCCAGAUGGGAUUAGCUUGUUGGUGGGGUAACGGCUCACCAAGGCGACGAUCCCUAGCUGGUCUGAGAGGAUGACCAGCCACACUGGAACUGAGACACGGUCCAGACUCCUACGGGAGGCAGCAGUGGGGAAUAUUGCACAAUGGGCGCAAGCCUGAUGCAGCCAUGCCGCGUGUAUGAAGAAGGCCUUCGGGUUGUAAAGUACUUUCAGCGGGGAGGAAGGGAGUAAAGUUAAUACCUUUGCUCAUUGACGUUACCCGCAGAAGAAGCACCGGCUAACUCCGUGCCAGCAGCCGCGGUAAUACGGAGGGUGCAAGCGUUAAUCGGAAUUACUGGGCGUAAAGCGCACGCAGGCGGUUUGUUAAGUCAGAUGUGAAAUCCCCGGGCUCAACCUGGGAACUGCAUCUGAUACUGGCAAGCUUGAGUCUCGUAGAGGGGGGUAGAAUUCCAGGUGUAGCGGUGAAAUGCGUAGAGAUCUGGAGGAAUACCGGUGGCGAAGGCGGCCCCCUGGACGAAGACUGACGCUCAGGUGCGAAAGCGUGGGGAGCAAACAGGAUUAGAUACCCUGGUAGUCCACGCCGUAAACGAUGUCGACUUGGAGGUUGUGCCCUUGAGGCGUGGCUUCCGGAGCUAACGCGUUAAGUCGACCGCCUGGGGAGUACGGCCGCAAGGUUAAAACUCAAAUGAAUUGACGGGGGCCCGCACAAGCGGUGGAGCAUGUGGUUUAAUUCGAUGCAACGCGAAGAACCUUACCUGGUCUUGACAUCCACAGAACUUUCCAGAGAUGGAUUGGUGCCUUCGGGAGCUGUGAGACAGGUGCUGCAUGGCUGUCGUCAGCUCGUGUUGUGAAAUGUUGGGUUAAGUCCCGCAACGAGCGCAACCCUUAUCCUUUGUUGCCAGCGGUCCGGCCGGGAACUCAAAGGAGACUGCCAGUGAUAAACUGGAGGAAGGUGGGGAUGACGUCAAGUCAUCAUGGCCCUUACGACCAGGGCUACACACGUGCUACAAUGGCGUAUACAAAGAGAAGCGACCUCGCGAGAGCAAGCGGACCUCAUAAAGUGCGUCGUAGUCCGGAUUGGAGUCUGCAACUCGACUCCAUGAAGUCGGAAUCGCUAGUAAUCGUGGAUCAGAAUGCCACGGUGAAUACGUUCCCGGGCCUUGUACACACCGCCCGUCACACCAUGGGAGUGGGUUGCAAAAGAAGUAGGUAGCUUAACCUUCGGGAGGGCGCUUACCACUUUGUGAUUCAUGACUGGGGUGAAGUCGUAACAAGGUAACCGUAGGGGAACCUGCGGUUGGAUCACCUCCUUA